AGAGAGUCGAUAUGGCUGAAAAAUGACUUAACUACUACAAAACUGGAGGGCCUCAAUCUGGAAGAUUCAGGAUCAACAGUACAGCUCCCCUGGGUGCCAAUUUCUAUACAAGAAACCCAUUCACUUUUUUGGCCGCGCUGGCCCCCAGAGGCUCCGCCCUGCGCUCCCGCAGCCCCGCC
This is a long non-coding RNA of Dromiciops gliroides (monito del monte), 179 nucleotides long. RefSeq lists it as uncharacterized. The record is from RefSeq and is a predicted model, not a curated record. NCBI's taxonomy places the organism in Eukaryota, Metazoa, Chordata, Mammalia, Microbiotheria, Microbiotheriidae. The transcript has 4 exons.